CAACAACCCUGUGAUGGGAGACAGUGUAGCUUAGUGGAUGGAACCAGUGCUAUGCUGACCCAGAGAGCCUGGAUGCCAUGAUUCUGAGUUUGACUACAGUGACUGGUCAGGGAGGUGGUGGAAAGAGAGAAUGGAGAGUGAUUCAUGAGUGAGUCACAAGCAAGCUAUCCCUCCUCCCCUUUUGACCCUUUGCUGGAAGGAAAUAAAGAAAGAAAGACUUGGAAGGCCACUUCAGAGAGGUUGCCAACCCUUUUUCAAAUUGUGCCUGGUGAUGGGCGUGUGGGAACUCCAAAGCAGUCUACAACGAGUACAGAAAAGAAUACAUGCUACAGGAUGGAGCCAGCGCACAACUCCAGGGUGUAGAAGUUUGCUUGGGCCCCAACAGCCAGUUCGGCCACCAACUUUUGGAAGUAAAAGACGGCUGGGCUUGCAAUCCAGAAGUACCAGUGCUACAAAGUCUAAUCUGCCAGUGCCAGGGAAAGCAGGCUCUGAACUGCCAGUAUACCAGUCAGAGAACUAAAAACCAAAAGAGAAUGAGACAAAUCAACAGGACAGGACACCCUGCAUGUGGGGAGCUGCACAGCACUCCACCAAGCCUGAGGGAAAGCGCACAUCAUCCAUCUGGGGGUAUUUCUGACCAACCAAAAGUCAGUUGAGGCAGAGACCUAGGCUAGUGAACCAUGAAUUUCCCAGUGUGAAAAGAUGCUGAGAUCCAACACCUAAGGAAACCACAAUGAGAGAGGAGGGAGUCAGGAAGUGAGUGAUAAGGAAAAUAAGAUGGGGAACACAAGGGAGAAAUAAGACUGAAAGUACCAAGGAGUUCAAGGAAAAGAAAUCUCAAAGAUCUCAAAUAUAAACAAAUAAAGAGGAAAAACAG
Non-coding RNA from Phascolarctos cinereus (koala), 877 nucleotides. NCBI's taxonomy places the organism in Eukaryota, Metazoa, Chordata, Mammalia, Diprotodontia, Phascolarctidae. The record is from RefSeq and is a predicted model, not a curated record.